CGGAGAAUUGCUAGCUUGCUAAUAAUUCUCUAGUGGCGCACGGGUGAGUAACACGUGAGUACCUGCCCCCAAGAGUGGGAUAGCCCCGGGAAACUGGGAUUAAUACCGCAUAAAGCAAUAAAGCAGCAAUGCGCUUGGGGAUGGGCUCGCGUCCUAUUAGUUAGUUGGUGAGGUAACGGCUCACCAAGGCGAUGACGGGUAGCCGGUCUGAGAGGAUGUCCGGCCACACUGGAACUGAGACACGGUCCAGACACCUACGGGUGGCAGCAGUCGAGAAUCAUUCACAAUGGGGGAAACCCUGAUGGUGCGACGCCGCGUGGGGGAUAAGGUCUUCGGAUUGUAAACCCCUGUCAUGUGGGACAUUAAAAGAUAGUACCACAAGAGGAAGAGACGGCUAACUCUGUGCCAGCAGCCGCGGUAAUACAGAGGUCUCAAGCGUUGUUCGGAAUCACUGGGCGUAAAGCGUGCGUAGGCGGUUUCGUAAGUCGUGUGUGAAAGGCGGGGGCUCAACCCCCGGACUGCACAUGAUACUGCGAGACUAGAGUAAUGGAGGGGGAACCGGAAUUCUCGGUGUAGCAGUGAAAUGCGUAGAUAUCGAGAGGAACACUCGUGGCGAAGGCGGGUUCCUGGACAUUAACUGACGCUGAGGCACGAAGGCCAGGGGAGCGAAAGGGAUUAGAUACCCCUGUAGU
Molecule: ribosomal RNA, 692 nt
Filed under: uncultured bacterium
Lineage: Bacteria
Description: bacterial SSU rRNA
Rfam family: Bacterial small subunit ribosomal RNA
Source: RNAcentral